This 443-nucleotide ribosomal RNA is filed under the name uncultured bacterium. Its description in RNAcentral is "partial 16S ribosomal RNA". It matches the Rfam family "Bacterial small subunit ribosomal RNA", at positions 338 to 795 of the family's 1533-position model. The record is from RNAcentral.
CCUACGGGAGGCAGCAGUGGGGAAUAUUGGGCAAUGGGCGCAAGCCUGACCCAGCAACGCCGCGUGAAGGAAGAAGGCUUUCGGGUUGUAAACUUCUUUUGUCAGGGACGAAGCAAGUGACGGUACCUGACGAAUAAGCCACGGCUAACUACGUGCCAGCAGCCGCGGUAAUACGGAGGUGGCAAGCGUUAUCCGGAUUUACUGGGUGUAAAGGGCGUGUAGGCGGGGAAGCAAGUCAGAUGUGAAAACCAAGGGCUCAACCUUAGGCCUGCAUUUGAAACUGUUAUUCUUGAGUGCUGGAGAGGCAAUCGGAAUUCCGUGUGUAGCGGUGAAAUGCGUAGAUAUACGGAGGAACACCAGUGGCGAAGGCGGAUUGCUGGACAGUAACUGACGCUGAGGCGCGAAAGCGUGGGGAGCAAACAGGAUUAGAUACCCCUGUAGUC